GUGUCAGCAGCCGCGGUGAUACGUAGGCAGCGAGCGUUGUUCGGAGUUACUGGGCGUAAAGGGUGUGUAGGCGGUUGUUUAAGUUUGGUGUGAAAUCUCCCGGCUCAACUGGGAGGGUGCGCCGAAUACUGAGCGACUAGAGUGCGGGAGAGGAAAGUGGAAUUCCUGGUGUAGCGGUGAAAUGCGUAGAUAUCAGGAGGAACACCGGUGGUGUAGACGGCUUUCUGGACCGUAACUGACGCUGAAACACGAAAGCGUGGGUAGCAAACAGGAUUAGAUACCCCAGUAGUCC
RNAcentral lists this ribosomal RNA (292 nucleotides) under uncultured bacterium. RNAcentral's name for it is "partial 16S ribosomal RNA". It matches the Rfam family "Bacterial small subunit ribosomal RNA", at positions 505 to 796 of the family's 1533-position model. The record is from RNAcentral.